GAGGAUGUAGCUCAGUGGUAGAGCAUGUCCAUGGCAUGCACAUGGUCCUGGCUUCGAUCCCCAGUGCCUCCA
Molecule: transfer RNA, 72 nt
Filed under: Camelus bactrianus (Bactrian camel)
Lineage: Eukaryota; Metazoa; Chordata; Mammalia; Artiodactyla; Camelidae
Also listed under: 2 other names
Rfam family: tRNA
About the family: Transfer RNA (tRNA) molecules are approximately 80 nucleotides in length.
Source: Rfam by way of RNAcentral